AUGGAGGAGAACAGUUCUGUCAGUGAACACAUACUUAGAAUGUCUGGGUACCAUAACCACUUGACUCAGCUGGGAGUUAAUCUUCCUGAUGGUAGUGUCAUUGACAGAGUUCUUCAAUCACUGCCACCAAGCUAUAAAGGCUUCGUGAUGAAGUAUAAAAUGCAAGGGAUGGAAAAGACAAUUCUCGAGCUCUUCGCGAUGCUAAAGGCUGCGGAGGUAGAAAUCAAGAAGGAGCAUCAAGUGUUGAUGGUUAACAAGACCACUAGUUUCAAGAAAAAGGGCAAAGGGAAGAAGGGGAACUUCAAGAAGAAUAGCAAGCAAGUUGCUACUCAAGGGAAGAAGCCCAAGUCUGGACCUAAGCCUGAAACUGAGUGCUUCUACUGCAAAGGGACUGGUCACUCGAAGCGGAACUGCCCCAAGUAUUUGGCGGAUAAGAAGGAUGGCAAAGUGAAAGGUAUAUUUGAUUUUUAUUUUAUUGAUGUGUACCUUACUAAUGCUCGUAGUAGCGUCUGUGUAUUUGAUAUGAGUUCUAUUGCUUAUAUUUGCAACUCGAAGUAG
This 558-nucleotide ribosomal RNA is filed under the name Triticum aestivum (bread wheat). RNAcentral describes it as "partial small subunit ribosomal RNA". The record is from RNAcentral. Lineage: Eukaryota; Viridiplantae; Streptophyta; Magnoliopsida; Poales; Poaceae.